GACGAAGGAUGCAAGCGUUAUCCGGAUUCAUUGGGUUUAAAGGGAGCGUAGGUGGCCUGAUAAGUCAGUGGUGAAAUCUCUCGGCUUAACCGAGAAAUUGCCAUUGAUACUGUUAGGCUUGAGUAUAGUUGCCGUUGGCGGAAUAUGACAUGUAGUGGUGAAAUACAUAGAGAUGUCAUAGAACACCGAUUGCGAAGGCAGCUAACGAAACUAUAACUGACACUGAGGCCCGAAAGUGCGGGGAUCAAACAGG
This 253-nucleotide ribosomal RNA is filed under the name uncultured bacterium. Its description in RNAcentral is "partial 16S ribosomal RNA". It matches the Rfam family "Bacterial small subunit ribosomal RNA", at positions 524 to 776 of the family's 1533-position model. The record is from RNAcentral.